Canis lupus familiaris (dog) is the source of this 1513-nucleotide long non-coding RNA. RefSeq lists it as uncharacterized. The record is from RefSeq and is a predicted model, not a curated record. The transcript has 4 exons. Lineage: Eukaryota; Metazoa; Chordata; Mammalia; Carnivora; Canidae.
CAGAUCCGCCCCUGUAUCCGGAACCUCUGGAUGACCUGUGGCUCCCACACCGGCCACAUCUUCUUCGUGGCCUGGCUUCCAGGGCUGGGAGGCAAGUGGCUCUAAGUGAUCCUCCCCUCGGAAUGUUGUUCCUCUGGCAACAAAUAGAACCCUACCCACAAACGCCAGGAAUGAAAUUCUCUCUUCCUGGCAAAGACCUUCAUGAGCAGAGACUCUGCAGUGGAGCUUGGUGCCCACCCUCCAACUGACGUCUAACUCUGGUCCUUUGGGCUGACCGCCAAGUCCCUUUAUCUGUUUGUGCUCAGGAAACACCACGCUGGGCUCAAAGGCGUCUUGAUAAAUCAGUAGACUGGCCACAUGUUACAGACAAGAAAACAGAGGCCUACACAGCUCCAGUAUCCUGUUCAAGGCCUCGAUGCCAGUGAAGGACACAACCAGAACUGGAAUCCAGUGGCAACAAUAAGGCAGAUUGGAGAUGUCGCCACUGACAGAUGUCACCCUGACAGCAGCACAAUCCAUGGGGGUAUCAGAGAGCAGCUCUCAGAGCACCUGGACUAUCUCAUGGGCCAACUCUGGAGAUCUCUAGCCAACAGAUUCACACCCAGCCCGCUGGCCAUCCCCAGCCUUCCACUCCCAGACUCCCUGGCUCCACAAGGAAUCCUUGGUCCUGGAGAACUUCACCAGAACGUGGAGAUCCUGGCUCCAAUAUCCUACCCAACAUUUUAGUCGAGCCUUGUGGAAAAUAGGAAAGUUAGAGGGGUAUAAGGAUCAUAUUCUUGACCUUAAAAAUUCUCUAAUCUCUCAUAUAUUGCUGGUGGAAGUAUAAAAUUGGUACAACCUGUAAAACUUUUUGAGAAAUCUACUAAAGGUAAACAUAAGCCUACUUAGCAAUGCCACUUCUUGUAUAUAAAUCAUAGAAAUCAGUGCUUAUGCUCACCACAGGGCAGGCACGAAAAUGUUCAUUGUCAUUCUAUUCAUAAUAGAUCCAAACGGGAAAUAACCCAAAUGUGCAUCAAUAGGAAAAUGGAUAAGUGAGCUGAUUAUGUAUAUAUACAAUUAAUAUAUAUAAUUUUAUAUAUUUGUUUUAUAUUAUUUAUAUUAUGUUACAUAUAUGACAUAUACAUAUGUGUGUGUAUAUAUAUAUAAAACAUUUGCUAUAUGGCAUUGCAUAUGCUGUACAGCAAUUAAAAAGAGUAAACUGCUACAUUUAGCAUCAAGCAUGAACCUCACAGACAUUCUGUUGAGCAAAAGAAGCCAGACACAAAAGAGUACUUACCACAUGAUUCCAUUUCUGUGAAGGUCAAGAACAGGCAAGGUAAAAUAUAGCAGCAACCUCUUCCCCGGGGGAAGAGUGUUUUUUGGGAGAGUGCAUGAGAAAGCUCCGGGGUGCUGGAAAUGCUAUGUUUAUCCAAGUUGAGGUUUUACAAGUGUAUAUGUAUAUUACAUAUGUAAAAAUUCAUCUGGCUGUACACUCAAGACUUGUAAACUUUAGUAUAUAAGUUAUAUCCACCAC